UGGGCACAAGAUACACAGUGUGGUUGCAGCACGCCACAACUGUCACAGCUGCCCGGAGAUCAAUGCUUACCUUCUGAUGACCACACUGUUGUCAAGUCAUCCAGUGUGGACAGAUACGGGGUACACAUGU
Non-coding RNA from Portunus trituberculatus (swimming crab), 130 nucleotides. RefSeq annotates it as small Cajal body-specific RNA 8. The record is from RefSeq and is a predicted model, not a curated record. Lineage: Eukaryota; Metazoa; Arthropoda; Malacostraca; Decapoda; Portunidae. The transcript has a single exon.